GCAGAGCAGCGGCCCAUGCCCGCUGGUGCUUUUGCCGGUCUGCCCCCGCAGGGCGGGCAGACAUCAUCGGC
RNAcentral lists this non-coding RNA (71 nucleotides) under unclassified sequences. The record is from RNAcentral.